AUGGUCAAUAAGCAAAUAAUUCGAGACAGCUCUAGUCCUUAUUCUUCUCCCGCUAUUCUCAUUAAAAAGAAGGAUCUGUCUUGGAGGCUGUGCAAUGAUUUCAGAAAAGUAAAUUCCCAAACAAUCAAGAACAAAUACCCUAUUCCAUUUAUUGAGGAUUUGCUGGAUGAGCUUCAUGGAGCUACUGUGUUUACCAAAUUGGAUUUGAAGAGUGGCUAUCACCAAAUAAGAAUGAAAGAGGAAGACAUUGAAAAGACUGCUUUCACUACUCAUUGUGGACAUUAUGAAUAUUUGGUUAUGCCUUUUGGCCUAACCAAUGCCCCUGCCACUUUUCAGAUGUUAAUGAACAAAAUCCUCAAGAAACAUCUCAGAAAAUUUGUGUUGGUUUUCUUUGAUGACAUAUUGAUUUUCAGUGAAACAUUGGAGGACCAUUUGGCACACUUGGAUGAGGUUUUUAAAACCCUACAGGAAAAUCAACUGGUGGUCAACUUAAGCAAAUGUAUUUUUGCUCAACCUCAGGUGGAGUACUUGGGCCACAUCAUUAGGGGAGAUGGGGUUGCCACAGACCCUAUAAAGAUCGAAGCAAUUACUCAAUGGCCUGCCCCUGAAAAUGUUUCACAAUUGAGAAGUUUCUUGGGCCUCACAGGGUAUUACAGAAGAUUUGUGCAAAAUUAUGGAUAUAUCUGCAAACCUCUUUUCAAUGCUCUUAAGAAGGACAGUUUCCAGUGGUCAAAUGAGCAGCAAGAAGCAUUCAACACACUGAAACACAAAAUGAUCCAAGCUCCUGUCCUUGCUCUACCUGACUUCACAAAACCAUUUGUGCUCGAAGCUGAUGUGUGUGCUUAUGGAAUUGGUGCUGUCCUCAUGCAGGGUGGACGGCCCAUUGCUUACUUCAGCAAAGCAAUUGGACCUCGGGCUACUGCUUGGUCCACUUAUGACAAGGAAGCUUUGGCUAUUAUAGAAGCACUCAAACAGUGGAAACAUUACUUCUCAGCUUCUUCUCUGAUAAUAAGAACUGACCAACAAAGUUUAAGGUACAUCCAAGACUAG
This 1050-nucleotide ribosomal RNA is filed under the name Triticum aestivum (bread wheat). RNAcentral describes it as "partial small subunit ribosomal RNA". Lineage: Eukaryota; Viridiplantae; Streptophyta; Magnoliopsida; Poales; Poaceae. The record is from RNAcentral.